CUGGUUGGCUCUCUAGGUAAGUCUGUAUCUCUCCCUCCCUCUGUAAAAAUUAAACCCAUUGCUUCUUCACUUUCUCAAACAAACCUUAUAUACACAACUACUGAUACUCCUCCCUCAACCACCAGAUCCUCUAACCAACCAUCUCAAAAAUUCAACCUCGCCACCACAACUCUACAUGUUUCAGAAGCAGAAAUGCUAAAUGAAACCACUUCACCAUCUUCAUCACCAUCUCCUCAAUCCCCACCUUACUAC
Molecule: long non-coding RNA, 252 nt
Filed under: Lathyrus oleraceus (garden pea)
Lineage: Eukaryota; Viridiplantae; Streptophyta; Magnoliopsida; Fabales; Fabaceae
Description: Pisum sativum (pea) long non-coding RNA (PSAT_LNC007494)
Source: RNAcentral